CUACGUGCCAGCAGCCGCGGUAAUACGGAGGAUACGAGCGUUAUCCGGAAUUAUUGGGUUUAAAGGGUGCGUAGGUGGCGUAUUAAGUCAGUGGUGAAAAGCUGCAGCUCAACUGUAGUCUUGCCGUUGAAACUGAUAUGCUAGAGAGGAGACGAGGUAUGCGGAAUGUGUGGUGUAGCGGUGAAAUGCAUAGAUAUCACACAGAACGUCGAUUGCGAAGGCAGCGUACCAGGCUCCGUCUGACACUGAAGCACGAAAGCGUGGGGAUCAAACAGGAUUAGAUACCCUGGUAGUCCACGCAGUAAACGAUGAAUACUAGAUUUUUGCGAUAUAGUGUAAGAGUCUAAGCGAAAGCGAUAAGUAUUCCACCUGGGGAGUACGCCGGCAACGGUGAAACUCAAAGGAAUUGACGGGGGCCCGCACAAGCGGAGGAACAUGUGGUUUAAUUCGAUGAUACGCGAGGAACCUUACCCGGGAUUGAACUAACGGUGACGAAUCUAGAGAUAG
RNAcentral lists this ribosomal RNA (507 nucleotides) under uncultured bacterium. RNAcentral describes it as "bacterial SSU rRNA". It matches the Rfam family "Bacterial small subunit ribosomal RNA", at positions 501 to 1009 of the family's 1533-position model. The record is from RNAcentral.